UCGGCUAUGCGUUUUAAUUUUUGACUCUAUUUGUUGUGGUGCUAUGAGUUUUUAGUUUGUUUUUAUGUUGUUUUUUGUAAAAUAUUUUGAUUUUUUUUUAGUUUCUUGUGGUAUCAAAAAUUUGUUUUUUGAACUGGAUUAGUACCCAGGUAAUCAAAAUUUAAUAAUUCGGGAGUAAAGUUUUGUUUAAACCGAAAAAAUAUUGACUGACUUUAGAUUUUUCUUUGGAACAUGUGAUUUGCUGGAGAGCCCUCUUUUUUGGUGAAUUUUGUUGGCACAUGUAUGAUUGUUUAGUUUUUAUUUUAUUUUGUAAUGCUUUGUUGUUUUGGCAUUAAAAACAGAUAUAUAUUUGGCUUAUGAAUUUAUGUUUCAUGUGUUACUAUUAUGAAUUUUUUUUGGAUUAGUUUUUUAUUUUUUUUUGAAAUUGGAAAAGAAAGUAAUUUUUUUUUAAUGUUUUAAUGAAUUUAAUAAAUAAGGUGGUACAAACCAUCCGUCAAUGGCCUAAAGGGGCG
Molecule: non-coding RNA, 512 nt
Filed under: Onchocerca ochengi
Lineage: Eukaryota; Metazoa; Nematoda; Chromadorea; Rhabditida; Onchocercidae
Source: RNAcentral